GGCGAGAGUAGUACUAGGAUGGG
This 23-nucleotide non-coding RNA is filed under the name Arabidopsis thaliana (thale cress). Lineage: Eukaryota; Viridiplantae; Streptophyta; Magnoliopsida; Brassicales; Brassicaceae. RNAcentral also lists the same sequence under 1 other name. The record is from RNAcentral.